AAGCCAUGAUGGGGGCACUUGCGUAGGAGAUCCUUGAAUCUCUCAUGUGCUUUGAAAAGUGUCUCGGAGUCCCCUUGACAGAAUGCAAAAAUCUCUUACCUUAGUCU
Small nucleolar RNA from Dioscorea cayenensis subsp. rotundata (Guinea yam), 107 nucleotides. NCBI's taxonomy places the organism in Eukaryota, Viridiplantae, Streptophyta, Magnoliopsida, Dioscoreales, Dioscoreaceae. The record is from RefSeq and is a predicted model, not a curated record.